Non-coding RNA from Anopheles maculatus, 74 nucleotides. NCBI's taxonomy places the organism in Eukaryota, Metazoa, Arthropoda, Insecta, Diptera, Culicidae. The record is from Rfam.
CUACGCAUCGGCCGAGAUGAGGGCAAUGUUGUGUGUUUGUAGCUAAUAUUGCACUUGUCCCGGCCUAUGUGUGG